RNAcentral lists this ribosomal RNA (860 nucleotides) under uncultured bacterium. RNAcentral describes it as "bacterial SSU rRNA". It matches the Rfam family "Bacterial small subunit ribosomal RNA", at positions 8 to 916 of the family's 1533-position model. The record is from RNAcentral.
AGAGUUUGAUCAUGGCUCAGAACGAACGCUGGCGGCAGGCUUAACACAUGCAAGUCGAACGCCCCGCAAGGGGAGUGGCAGACGGGUGAGUAACACGUGGGAACGUGCCCAAAGGUACGGAACAACUCCGGGAAACUGGAGCUAAUACCGUAUGUGCCCGAAAGGGGAAAGAUUUAUCGCCUUUGGAUCGGCCCGCGUCUGAUUAGCUAGUUGGCGGGGUAAUGGCCCACCAAGGCGACGAUCAGUAGCUGGUCUGAGAGGAUGACCAGGCACACUGGGACUGAGACACGGGCCAGACUCCUACGGGAGGCAGCAGUGGGGAAUAUUGGACAAUGGGCGCAAGCCUGAUCCAGCCAUGCCGCGUGAGUGAUGAAGGCCUUAGGGUUGUAAAGCUCUUUCGCCGAGGACGAUAAUGACGGUACUCGGAUGAGAAGCCCCGGCUAACUUCGUGCCAGCAGCCGCGGUAAUACGAAGGGGGCUAGCGUUGUUCGGAAUUACUGGGCGUAAAGCGUAUGCAGGCGGAUCUCUAAGUCGGGGGUGAAAUCCUGAGGCUCAACCUCAGAACUGCCUUCGAUACUGGAGAUCUUGAGUCCGGGAGAGGUGAGUGGAACUGCGAGUGUAGAGGUGAAAUUCGUAGAUAUUCGCAAGAACACCAGUGGCGAAGGCGGCUCACUGGCCCGGUACUGACGCUGAGAUACGAAAGCGUGGGGAGCAAACAGGAUUAGAUACCCCUGGUAGUCCACGCCGUAAACGAUGAAUGCUAGCCGUCGGCCAGCUUGCUGGUCGGUGGCGCAGCUAACGCAAUAAGCAUUCCGCCUGGGGAGUACGAUCGCAAGAUUAAAACUCAAAUGAAUUGACGG